Molecule: long non-coding RNA, 460 nt
Filed under: Mus musculus (house mouse)
Lineage: Eukaryota; Metazoa; Chordata; Mammalia; Rodentia; Muridae
Description: long non-coding RNA chr4:43663948-43664408
Source: RNAcentral
GCUGCCGUCGCCAUGACCCGCGGUAACCAGCGAGAGCUCGCCCGCCAGAAGAACAUGAAGAAGCAGAGCGACUCGGUUAAGGGAAAGCGCCGAGAUGAUGGGCUUUCUGCUGCCGCCCGCAAGCAGAGGGACUCGGAGAUCAUGCAGCAGAAGCAGAAAAAGGCAAACGAGAAGAAGGAGGAACCCAAGUAGCCUUGUGGCUUCGUGUCCAACCCUCUUGCCCUCCGCCUGUGUGCCUGGAGCCAGUCCCACCAUGCUCGAGUUUCUUCCUGUAGUGCUCACAGGUCCCAGCACCGAUGGCAUUCCCUUUGCCCUGAGUCUGCAGCGGGUUCCUUUUGUGCUUCCUUCCCCUCAGGUAGCCUCUCUCCCUCUGGGCCACUCCUGGGGGUGAGGGGGUUACCCCUUCCCAGUGUUUUUUAUUCCUGUGGGGCACACCCCAAAGUAUUAAAAGUAGCUUUGU